AUGGGCGACGGCGGAACGUUCUGCACCUUGGGCAUCGGCUACGCUGCCCCGUCGGGCAUGUUCAAGGUGGUCCGCCUCAUGACCACGUUGAGUCAUGGUCAUCAGCCGAAGCACACCUGCGAGCUUCUCGCGUUGGAAGACGGCGCCAGAGGAUGGAGGCGGAUGCAGUCACCACCAAUUGCAGACUAUUUCGGCCUCCACAAAAACUCUAUGGUCACUAUAGAUGGUGUGCUCUACUUCCUUUACAGCUUGUCGCCACCGCGGGUGGGCGGGGACUAUGUCCUCCGCCUUGACCUCGAGACCGAGCAAUGGAAGAGGUCCAUCAAAGCCCCAAAGAUGAGAUCGACGAUGCCCCGUAUGGUCGAGCUCAAUGGAACCCUUUGCAUGGUUCACUUGGAGGGACGCCGGACCAAAAAUGCUUGCACGAUCAUAUGGCUCCUGUCUGAUUUGGCCAAGGGCACCUGGGCCAAGGCGUAUGUGAUCCCGAUGCCUCAUGCCGUCGAUCUAGUGAUCCCUCUGAGGAUGAUGCGUCAUGAUGGAAAGCUAAUGUGCUAUUGCUUACAUAAUGACAGACCAAGUCCGACGCUACAAGUUUAUGAUCCGCUCAAUGGGAUAUGCACACAGCUCCCAGAUCUUCCAGGUAACAAUUUGAGCGACGUUGGUUUUUGCGACUUGCACUUGGAAUGUUAUAUACGGUCCACCUAA
This 705-nucleotide ribosomal RNA is filed under the name Triticum aestivum (bread wheat). RNAcentral's name for it is "partial small subunit ribosomal RNA". The record is from RNAcentral. Lineage: Eukaryota; Viridiplantae; Streptophyta; Magnoliopsida; Poales; Poaceae.